This 252-nucleotide ribosomal RNA is filed under the name uncultured Bacteroidales bacterium. RNAcentral describes it as "partial 16S ribosomal RNA". It matches the Rfam family "Bacterial small subunit ribosomal RNA", at positions 524 to 776 of the family's 1533-position model. Lineage: Bacteria; Pseudomonadati; Bacteroidota; Bacteroidia; Bacteroidales. The record is from RNAcentral.
UACGGAGGAUGCGAGCGUUAUCCGGAUUUAUUGGGUUUAAAGGGUGCGUAGGCGGGCUGUUAAGUCAGCGGUCAAAUGUCGGGGCUCAACCCCGGCCUGCCGUUGAAACUGGCGGCCUCGAGUGGGCGAGAAGUAUGCGGAAUGCGUGGUGUAGCGGUGAAAUGCAUAGAUAUCACGAAGAACCCCGAUUGCGAAGGCAGCCUGCCGCAGCGUUACUGACGCUGAAGCUCGAAAGCGCGGGUAUCGAACAGG